GACGAACGCUGGCGGCGUGCUUAACACAUGCAAGUCGAACGGAAAGGCCCUGCUUUUGUGGGGUGCUCGAGUGGCGAACGGGUGAGUAACACGUGAGUAACCUGCCCUUGACUUUGGGAUAACUUCAGGAAACUGGGGCUAAUACCGGAUAGGAGCUCCUGCUGCAUUGUGGGGGUUGGAAAGUUUCGGCGGUUGGGGAUGGACUCGCGGCUUAUCAGCUUGUUGGUGGGGUAGUGGCUUACCAAGGCUUUGACGGGUAGCCGGCCUGAGAGGGUGACCGGCCACAUUGGGACUGAGAUACGGCCCAGACUCCUACGGGAGGCAGCAGUGGGGAAUAUUGCACAAUGGGAGGAAGCCUGAUGAAGCAACGCCGCGUGCGGGAUGACGGCCUUCGGGUUGUAAACCGCUUUCGCCUGUGACGAAGCGUGAGUGACGGUAAUGGGUAAAGAAGCACCGGCUAACUACGUG
This 468-nucleotide ribosomal RNA is filed under the name uncultured bacterium. RNAcentral describes it as "partial 16S ribosomal RNA". It matches the Rfam family "Bacterial small subunit ribosomal RNA", at positions 28 to 507 of the family's 1533-position model. The record is from RNAcentral.